This 507-nucleotide ribosomal RNA is filed under the name uncultured bacterium. RNAcentral's name for it is "partial 16S ribosomal RNA". It matches the Rfam family "Bacterial small subunit ribosomal RNA", at positions 29 to 507 of the family's 1533-position model. The record is from RNAcentral.
ACGAACGCUGGCGGCGUGCCUCAUCCAUGCAAGUCGCACGCUUCUUUCCUCCCGAGUGCUUGCACUCAAUUGGAAAGAGGAGUGGCGGACGGGUGAGUAACACGUGGGUAACCUACCCAUCAGAGGGGGAUAACACUUGGAAACAGGUGCUAAUACCGCAUAACAGUUUAUGCCGCAUGGCAUAAGAGUGAAAGGCGCUUUCGGGUGUCGCUGAUGGAUGGACCCGCGGUGCAUUAGCUAGUUGGUGAGGUAACGGCUCACCAAGGCCACGAUGCAUAGCCGACCUGAGAGGGUGAUCGGCCACACUGGGACUGAGACACGGCCCAGACUCCUACGGGAGGCAGCAGUAGGGAAUCUUCGGCAAUGGACGAAAGUCUGACCGAGCAACGCCGCGUGAGUGAAGAAGGUUUUCGGAUCGUAAAACUCUGUUGUUAGAGAAGAACAAGGACGUUAGUAACUGAACGUCCCCUGACGGUAUCUAACCAGAAAGCCACGGCUAACUACGUG